This is a long non-coding RNA of Vespa crabro (European hornet), 581 nucleotides long. RefSeq lists it as uncharacterized. The transcript has 2 exons. The record is from RefSeq and is a predicted model, not a curated record. NCBI's taxonomy places the organism in Eukaryota, Metazoa, Arthropoda, Insecta, Hymenoptera, Vespidae.
CGCUACUAUCAUCGUUGUUAGCGUUUCCCUCUGACGCAUCGAGUCGCCAGCUGUUCUUUGUCGGCAGUGCGAUUACGCACGGGCACGGCGAAUGGAAGGUCCGUUCCUGCACGCCGAUUGGUCAAUCCUACUUGCUCCGUCGCUAGCGCUCACUACGACACGCGACGACAACGCCAUCUUCAACAUCAGCGCCUCGAAUCAGACAACGAAAACAAAAAUAUAUAGAACGAAGAUGGAUGAUGUCUGUGAUUCGACCAAUAAGAGAUUAAAAAUAACGGGUUGCGCGGCUCUUUGACGCUUCGGCGAAGGCGGGGACCGUCCGGCUUGCGUCCUGGGAUGGCAUGCACAGAACACAGCACCAAACGCCAUACGGUUACACAGAGACAGACAAAAUCCACAGAUAGAAGAAAAGAUAGAGAAAGUUGGGUUGGGAUCGGAAAGGAGCGAGUGGGGGAGGGCUUGAAAUAGAUUACAAGGUGAGUUAAGAGAAAGAGAGAAGGGGAGUGAGAGAGAAAGAGUGGGAGAGAAAGAUAGAUAGAUAGAUGGAUAGAGAGAGAGAGAGAGAGAGAGAGAGAGAGAGA